RNAcentral lists this long non-coding RNA (360 nucleotides) under Gossypium barbadense (sea-island cotton). RNAcentral's name for it is "long non-coding RNA (GBAR_LNC003357)". The record is from RNAcentral. Lineage: Eukaryota; Viridiplantae; Streptophyta; Magnoliopsida; Malvales; Malvaceae.
AUAUGAAAGUGGAAUUUGAGACACAAACCUUGUUGUACUGAAUCUUGCUCAUAUCUAAAGUGGUCUGGGGAAGAUCGGGGUACCGCUGCUUCAAGCAAAGCAGGAGGCUUUCGGCUCUAUCUGCAAGUAUUUCUCUCUUUUCAGCAUCAACCAUUAGAUCCUUAACCAUGUCCCAUGACGACUUUGAACUAGAGCGGGAUGUGUUGUUGACAGGUUUGGGAUUGGUCUUUCUGCGCCACAGAUAUAUUGAGGCCUCCACUCGGUUGGCGAUCUCUAUAGCUUGAUGCUCGGAGGACAAAUCAAGGCAAUCAAGAAGACAUUCGGGAGUAAACAGAUCAGAUGAAACAUAGCGAUAAAUGA